GUAAGGAAUAUUGGUCAAUGGAGGCAACUCUGAACCAGCCAUGCCGCGUGCAGGAAGACGGCCCUCUGGGUUGUAAACUGCUUUUAUUCGGGAAUAAACCUCCUUACGUGUAGGGAGCUGAAUGUACCGAAGGAAUAAGGAUCGGCUAACUCCGUGCCAGCAGCCGCGGUAAUACGGAGGAUCCAAGCGUUAUCCGGAUUUAUUGGGUUUAAAGGGUGCGUAGGCGGCUUAUUAAGUCAGGGGUGAAAGACGGUGGCUCAACCAUCGCAGUGCCCUUGAUACUGAUGAGCUUGAAUACAUUAGAGGUAGGCGGAAUGUGACAAGUAGCGGUGAAAUGCAUAGAUAUGUCACAGAACACCGAUUGCGAAGGCAGCUUACUAUGAUGAGAUUGACGCUGAGGCACGAAAGCGUGGGGAUCAAACAGGAUUAGAAACCCUAGUAGUCC
RNAcentral lists this ribosomal RNA (445 nucleotides) under uncultured bacterium. RNAcentral's name for it is "bacterial SSU rRNA". It matches the Rfam family "Bacterial small subunit ribosomal RNA", at positions 354 to 796 of the family's 1533-position model. The record is from RNAcentral.